AUAGCGUAUAUUAAAGUUGUUGCAGUUAAAAAGCUCGUAGUUGGAUCUCAGGCGCAGGCGGGCGGUCCGGCUCGCGCCGGUUCACUGCCCGUUGUCUCCUGCCCUACCGUCUGCCGGCUCUCUCCCGUGGGUGCUCUUCACUGAGCGUCCCGGGUGGCCGGCGCGUUUACUUUGAAAAAAUUAGAGUGUUCAAAGCAGGCCUCAGCUGCCUGAAUAAUGGUGCAUGGAAUAAUGGAAUAGGACCUCGGUUCUAUUUUGUUGGUUUUCGGAACUGGAGGUAAUGAUUAACAGGGACAAACGGGGGCAUUCGUAUUGCGGCGUUAGAGGUGAAAUUCUUGGAUCGCCGCAAGACGAGCUACUG
RNAcentral lists this ribosomal RNA (361 nucleotides) under uncultured eukaryote. RNAcentral's name for it is "SSU rRNA". It matches the Rfam family "Eukaryotic small subunit ribosomal RNA", at positions 594 to 945 of the family's 1831-position model. The record is from RNAcentral.